GCUCAGUACAUGGCAUGUGCCUGUCUUCCCAGCUACAGGGAGGUGAGGCAGAGGGAUUACUUGUGCCUAGAGUUCUAGGUUACAUUCACCUAUGCUAAUCUGGUAUCCACAGGAAGUUCAGCAUCAAAACGGUGAUCUCCCAGAAGCAGGGGAACCACUAGGUUGCCUAAGGAGAGAGGAACUGACCCAGGUCAGCAAUGGAGCAGGCCAAAAUUCCCCUAAUCAGUAGUGGAAUUUUAUCUGUGAAUAGCCACUACACUCUAACCUAAGCAACUUAGCAAGACCCCACUUCU
This 293-nucleotide signal recognition particle RNA is filed under the name Marmota marmota marmota (Alpine marmot). Its description in RNAcentral is "Metazoan signal recognition particle RNA (ENSMMMG00000006518.1)". It matches the Rfam family "Metazoan signal recognition particle RNA". From Rfam's summary of the family: The signal recognition particle (SRP) is a universally conserved ribonucleoprotein. It is involved in the co-translational targeting of proteins to membranes. The record is from RNAcentral. Lineage: Eukaryota; Metazoa; Chordata; Mammalia; Rodentia; Sciuridae.